RNAcentral lists this ribosomal RNA (588 nucleotides) under Mibora minima. Its description in RNAcentral is "eukaryotic LSU rRNA". The stretch from base 218 to 373 matches the Rfam family "5.8S ribosomal RNA". Lineage: Eukaryota; Viridiplantae; Streptophyta; Magnoliopsida; Poales; Poaceae. The record is from RNAcentral.
ACCCUGACCAAAAUAUACCGUGCACGCGUUAUCUACCUGUCGAGAGAUGGAUUCGUCUAUCACACGGCCAAGUCCUCGACACCCUCCUCUCCUAGAUGCGGUGGCUCGUGGUAAAAGAACCCACGGCGCCCAAGGCGUCAAGGAACACUGUGCCUAGCCCAGGAAGGCAGGCGGCUUGAUGGCUGCCCCUCGUGGUGCAAAGCAAUAUAAUCCACACGACUCUCGGCAACGGAUAUCUUGGCUCUAGCAUCGAUGAAGAACGUAGCGAAAUGCGAUACCUGGUGUGAAUUGCAGAAUCCCGCGAACCAUCGAGUCUUUGAACGCAAGUUGCGCCCAAGGCCAUUCGGCCGGGGGCACGCCUGCCUGGGCGUCACGCUAAACACGCUCCCAUCCCCUCAUUGGGAGCGGGAUGUGGCAUAUGGCUCCUUGUCGCGCAAGUUGCGUUGGGCCAAAGAUAUGGCUGCUGGUGUACCGUGCCGGACACAGCGCGUGGUAGGCGUCCUCGCUAUACUUCUGUAGUGUCUCCGGUGUGUAGCCAAGGUGAUGGCCUCGAAAGAGCCUUUCAAUGGUGCGCAUGACGCUCCGACC